UGCUAUGGCACAUAUAUGGAAAUCACUAGUGGUUGAUCCUAAGAGGACUAUUGAUGAAAAUCUGGAUUUUAUUUUUGAUGAUCUUCUAAUACAAUGUGGAUCCAAGCUUUGGCAUUCUUGUGAGGCAUCUUGCCUUGCCCUUGCAGAUAUUAUCCAAGGUCGAAAAUUUGAUUAGGUUGGGAAGCAUUUGAAGAAAAUAUGAGUGGCUGCUUUUCGUGCCAUGGAUGACAUCAAAGAAACUGUGCAAAAUGCUGGUGACAAACUAUGUCGUGCUGUAACCUCACUAACAAUAAGGCUCUGUGAUGUGUCCCUUAUUGAAGCAUCAGAUGCAAGCCAAUCGAUGGAUAUUGUUCUUCCCUUUUUGCUUGCAGAAGGCAUAUUGAGUAAAGUUGACAGUAUCAGGAAGGCAUCAAUCGGAGUUGUUAUGAAGCUUGCAGAGGGUGCAGGAGUUGCAGUUCGCCCACAUUUAUCGGAUUUAGUUUGUUGCAUGCUGGAAAGCUUAUCAAGCCUAGAGGACCAAGGACUCAAUUAUGUUGAGUUGCAUGCAUCAAAUGUUGGAAUUCAAACAGAGAAGCUAGAAAAUCUGCGACUUUCAAUUGCGAAAGGAUCUCCAAUGUGGGAGACUCUUGACCUGUGCAUAAAUGUUGUAGAUAACAAAUUAUUAGAGAUGCUGGUUCCACGUCUUGUUAACUUGGUUCGAUCUGGAGUUGGCCUCAAUACAAGGGUUGGUGUUGCCACCUUUAUCAACUUAUUAGUUCAGAAAGUUGGUGUGGAUAUCAGACCCUAAGCAACAUGCUAUUAAGGCCAUUGUUUCCUGUUGUUAAGGAGGAGAAAAGUUCUGCGGUAAAACGUGCAUUUGCAAGUGCUUUGGCUGUUGUUUUGAAGUAUUCAACUCCAUCUCAAGCCCAAAAGUUGAUAGAAGACACUGCAGAUUUGCACACCGGUGACAGGAAUGCUCAAAUAUCCUGUGUAUACUUGAUGAAAAGCUUUUCAUCCAUUGCUUCAGAUGUUUUAAGCGGAUAUAAUAAAGUGAUAAUUCCGGUGAUCUUUAUGUCAAGAUUUGAGGAUGACAAACACAUUUCCAGUCUUUUUGAGGAGCUCUAGGAAGAAAGCAUAAGUGGCGAACGAAUAACACUACAGUUGUAUAUGGAGGAAAUCGUUUCAAUUAUUUGUUACAGCAUUGCAUCAUCUUCAUGGGCAAGUAAACGAAGAUCAGGUAAGGCAAUCUGCAAGCUUAGUGAAGUUCUGGGUGAUUCCUUAUCUUCUUAUCUUGUUCUCCUGAAAUCUCUUAUGAAGGAAAUUCCUGGUCGUUUAUGGGAGGUAGGA
RNA transcript from Hibiscus syriacus, 1326 nucleotides. RefSeq lists it as uncharacterized. The transcript has 7 exons. NCBI's taxonomy places the organism in Eukaryota, Viridiplantae, Streptophyta, Magnoliopsida, Malvales, Malvaceae. The record is from RefSeq and is a predicted model, not a curated record.